RNAcentral lists this ribosomal RNA (263 nucleotides) under uncultured bacterium. RNAcentral's name for it is "partial 16S ribosomal RNA". It matches the Rfam family "Bacterial small subunit ribosomal RNA", at positions 333 to 592 of the family's 1533-position model. The record is from RNAcentral.
GAAUUCCUACGGGGGGCAGCAGUGAGGAAUAUUGGACAAUGGGCGGAAGCCUGAACCAGCCAAGUCGCGUGAGGGAAUAAGGCCCUACGGGUCGUAAACCUCUUUUGCCGGGGAGCAAGGGCCGGGACGCGUCCCGGCCCGGAGAGUACCCGGAGAAAAAGCAUCGGCUAACUCCGUGCCAGCAGCCGCGGGAAUACGGAGGAUGCGAGCGUUAUCCGGAUUUAUUGGGUUUAAAGGGUGCGUAGGCGGGCUUUUAAGUCAGC